UACGAAGGGGGCUAGCGUUGUUCGGAAUUACUGGGCGUAAAGCGCACGUAGGCGGACACUUAAGUCAGGUGUGAAAUCCCGGGGCUCAACCUCGGAAUUGCAUUUGAUACUGUGUGGCUAGAGAUAAGUAGAGGAGAGCGGAAUUCCUAGUGUAGAGGUGAAAUUCGUAGAUAUUAGGAGGAACAUCAGUGGCGAAGGCGGCUUACUGGGCUUAUACUGACGCUGAGGCGCGAAAGCGUGGGGAGCAAACAGG
This 253-nucleotide ribosomal RNA is filed under the name uncultured bacterium. Its description in RNAcentral is "partial 16S ribosomal RNA". It matches the Rfam family "Bacterial small subunit ribosomal RNA", at positions 524 to 776 of the family's 1533-position model. The record is from RNAcentral.